Non-coding RNA from Zonotrichia albicollis (white-throated sparrow), 1015 nucleotides. The record is from RefSeq and is a predicted model, not a curated record. Lineage: Eukaryota; Metazoa; Chordata; Aves; Passeriformes; Passerellidae.
AGAAGACACAGAGGCUUCUGACACUGAUUGGGCUGGCAGAUCUGGUCUUGGAUUUCUCUCAGUCAGAUCACAGCAGAGCACUUUUGUCUGCAAAGCAACAUCAGCAUGUCAAGAAAAAUCAAUGAAAGCAAGGGGAAAAAAUGCCUCUGGCUCUGUUGGGCUUUUAAAGCAUAGCUGCUCUUGAGAGCUUGGAAAAAGCAGAACGCUGAGGAAAGUCCCAGGAGAGCAGAGGAACUUUGGAGUCACCUCUGGAGGAGUCUCAGGUCUCACUCUCUCUUGCCAUUUUUGCUGACUUUAACUAAGGGAAUGAGAACAAGAGAAGAAUACUCAAUGGUGCUAAUGCAAUAAGGAAGCUACCGGGCAAGCCCUGGGCCACAGAGACAGUGCAUCAUGCUUGCAUUACCAUUUCAAGAAGAUUUUUCAAAUCAUAGACCUUGAAAUCCACUAUUUGCAAUUGAAAUUGUUUUUCACCAUCCUGGGAAUAAGGGUCAAGAAAAAAGCUAAUGAUGGCCUUACAAAUUUUACACACAAAAUAAGCAUCCCUUACGUGCAAAGCUGCUCUCAAGAGAUUACCUCAUUAACAGCUGCAGAGUCUGAAUUUUUUGGUCCUGACAUUUAGACAGGAAUCCAAAAAGCCACCAUGAAUCACACAGACAUCUCAGGCUUAGUUAUUCUCAGUGAAUCCCAGCUGCCCUCAGGGGCUAUUUGGAGUGUUCCUUGCUGAACCACUCUGCAUAUUGUCCCUGCCAUUUCCAAUCCCACUCACCACACUUCUCCUGCAAAGGCCAGGUGAACUGGGGGUCCAUCCAGUCCCACAGAGCUGUGGCUUCAGAUUCAGUCAGCACAGGAGACAGGAGGUUCUGAGCAGAAAUUCCUGGUGUAAUUCACUGGGAACUGUGCUCAGCUCUGGGGUCCUGGCCUGAAAGGGCCUUCCCAGCUGCUUUGUACACCCUGUAAUGUUUCAGAGCCACUGCUCAGGUGUGACAGGGGUGUUUGUGGGUCCAGCAUGGCAAGA